Molecule: long non-coding RNA, 1655 nt
Filed under: Triticum aestivum (bread wheat)
Lineage: Eukaryota; Viridiplantae; Streptophyta; Magnoliopsida; Poales; Poaceae
Description: long non-coding RNA (TAES_LNC002021)
Source: RNAcentral
UCCCGGCGCACUCGGCCCGCCGUCGGACCCAUCCGCUUGGCUCCCGCGGCGAGAGAUCUGAUCGACAGAGAGGCCAAGGGGGAGUGUUGGCGCAGAGGUCAGGCGUCACAGGCAAACAAGUCGCUCGCUAGAGGUGGUCUAUGGUGUCGACACUCUCCGAUGGACAGAGCCGACGUGUGCGCUGGACAGAGUCGUCAUACACACAUCUAAUCCCACUGAUGAACCUGGCUGUGGGUUAGCUUCUGUCGGGAAGGUGACAAAGGAGAGAGAAAAGAAGCUUGUGGGGGCGGCCUGAUGGACAGGAAAUGAGAGGGUGACGCUGGCCUGAAGAUGAAGAAGGGACGAGAGCAUGGCCACGGUGCAAAUUCCUCUAUAUCUUUCCAUGGUUGUUUUAGAGCAUGGCCAUGGUGCAAAAUCAGCUGUCUCCCUGGUCGAAGUAGAUGCUUGGGGUGAGGCCAACUUAUGAAUUGACCGAGACGUCUUUACCUUGCAUUGCAAUGUCUUAAUCUUGCAUCUUUUGUCAAGCUUGCAUUAGAGCAAAUUCAUACUAUGAUGGGGGGAUUAUGAAUCAGUUGACACCCACGAAUUAAUGUGAUACAUCUAUGGGCCUGGCGCCAGAAUUUAGCACUGGAAUUUAUCGUUCCUUGAUGGCAUCUGCAACUCACCACAACUGUGUUAAGCAGUACCUGAGGUGCUCGGAUUUUACUUGCCUGCUAUAAGAAGGAAGGGUUCUCGGCCGGAAUCUCCAUCGGGUUGCUUCUUUGGACCAUAAUCUCCAUCAAAUCCCGACGAAAAUUCCGUGAAACGUACAAUGUCGCCGUCGAUUUCGCCGGAGGAAGAAGCGCCGAGUUCGCCGGAGGAACAAAACAUCUGUCGAGCCGUCCAAUGUCGCCCUCGACGGCUACAACAGAUGUAUGUAUCCCCUUGAAAGCAGCAAGCAGCAGUCUUCUGUUAUGUGUGUUCUGUGUGUUCUCUGUAUAGAUGUGUAGUAGUAAUCAAGCAGCAAAUUGAACAAAAUCGCAGCAGCAGGCUGCUGCUCUCCUCCCUGAUCUCCCUCUAUAUGAAGUAGCAUUAUAGCACAACAUCAUAAUUAGCAACGGCAGAGCAACCUCUGAAAAAUAGUUGGGAUAAUUAAAAAGAUUCUAAUGCGUUUAUCUUGGCAUAUCAGAACACCUCCCUGAUCUCCCUCUAUAUGAAGUAGCAGUAUAGCACAACAUCAUAAUUAGCAACGGCAGAGCAACCUCUGAAAAAUAGUUGGGAUAAUUAAAAAGAUUCUAAUGCGUUUAUUUUGGCAUAUCAGAACAUUUAGUAUGUAUAUCUGACUUCAGCACCAGGCACCAUGGUUACGCAUCUUGGUUUGAUACUGAUCAAGUAGUAUCAUGUUGAUCCCCUGUUUUAGUUAUUGUUUCUGUCCCCUGUCUCUCUGUCUGCUAUUCUGCUCUUUCUUAGCAGCAUGUUGAUUCUAAGAUUCCAAUAGUAUUUAGAAAGUAGCAAAUUUAUUUUUAUGCGAGAAUUUUAUUCUUAAGUUUCUGGCAGUAUUCAUAGUUAGUUUUCUCUGAUUUUGUGUGCUUUACAGGCAGUAAGCAUCCUUGGGUGUUCUUUACGUGCUUUGUCUCUAGGGGCCUCCUGAUGGACUCCUAUAAUACCACCAGGCC